AUGGCUCAACCAUACAUGCCGGUGGCAAGUGCGGAAGAUCCGGAAAUCCAAGAAAGUCCCGGCAAUGGCAGCUCGUCCAUCUGGAUCCAGGAGGAGGAGGAGAAAAUCCGCAAGCAAGCUGAGCAAGUAACCCUGAGCAUCCCUCCCCACUUCCCAAGGCUCGACUCUAUCGGUGGUAAUAACUUAGACUUCGAUUACCCGUCAAUUUUCAAGCUUCGCCGCCGCGCCGCCGUUGGAGUAGCGCUGGCGUCCAUGCCCACGCUUCCGCAGGCGGCCGCCUCGCCGGCCCUGGAUCACCCCGAGCCCGCAACCAGCAGCAUCAUGGUCGCCGCUGUCGGGCCGUACCACCGCCCGUCGUCAGGCUCACUCAUCACAGAUGCCAAGAAGUGCGCCAUCGUCAAGUUUCUUGCUAGCCAGCAAGGGUCCGGCCUCAACACCGCCGACUUCCUCCGUUGGGCGAAGGAGAAUGAUGCCCGAGUUCAGAGCUGCUACGAGGCUGGCUCGUUUACCGUGAGCUCUGAGCCAUCCAGAGAAGAAGAAACCAUGAGCUCCAAGGAUCUCCCCAGGAUGCUUCUGCUCGACGGUUGCCUGCUCCUCUUCGCCGUCUUCCUGCUCACGUCGAGCGUGCACGCGACGCCGGCGCUGCCGGCCCAUGAUGACGCCGAGCGUGAGAGGCAGUUCAACUACUUGUCCGCGGACAUGUGCCGGAACAUGAAACAGACCAGGCUGGACCUGCUGACGCUGAGCAACCAGAUCCCCUUCUUCGUGCUGGCCGAGCUUCACGGACGGUUGAAAGGCACCUUGUUCAAUGGAAUCGAGCGCAGCAUAGAAGAGCUGGCUCUCUCCUGCUUCGACGACAUCCACCCGCCGCUCAGUGGUGUCAUCAAACAAGCCAAGGCAGGAGAAACCAUCACGUUCCCAAAGACAGUUCAUCACCUGCUGCACCUUUUCCACUGGUCGCGGGUCCCCGAGGGCAAGCACAUGCUGCUCAACGAUUCUCCCUGCCUGCACGCCGAGCCGGAGUCGCACCUCCCCUGCGCGACCUGGUUCGAGGAGUGGCGGACGAGUUUCAGCAAGCAGGCCGCACCGGGCGGCAGCUCGUUACACAUCGUCUUCAAGAGGGAGAUGAUGGACAUGCGAGGGGUGAUGCACGUCCCUGCCCAGCACAUCCACGGCUACAGCGAGCCCGUCUUCCGCAGCCUCAUCGCGUUCGAGCAGAGGCACCACCAGUGUGGCCUCGGCGUCACCGCCUACUCCAUCUGCAUGGCUCGGCUGCUGCAGACCGAGGCCGACGCCAAGCUGCUGAGGGAGCGCGGGAUCCUGGCGCACACGCACCAGACCGACAAGGAGAUCGUCGACCUCUUCACUGGACUCGCGGAUGAGUACAGCAACACAUUUUACUCCAAAGACCUGCUUCGCCUCUGCGAGGACGUGUCGGCGCAUCAUAAGAGCACGCCCGCCAAGGCCAUCAAGUGGGUGAGGUUGCAGUGCUUCCCCAAGCAGUCUGUCACCUUCUUUGUCAUCUUUGGGGCUUUGAUCUCCUUCGCCACCGUCAUCAACGCGGGCUACUCGGUCUAUAGGUUCUAUCACCCACUCCCGGUCAAGUAA
This 1608-nucleotide ribosomal RNA is filed under the name Triticum aestivum (bread wheat). RNAcentral's name for it is "partial small subunit ribosomal RNA". Lineage: Eukaryota; Viridiplantae; Streptophyta; Magnoliopsida; Poales; Poaceae. The record is from RNAcentral.